Molecule: transfer RNA, 72 nt
Filed under: Thermodesulfitimonas autotrophica
Lineage: Bacteria; Bacillati; Bacillota; Clostridia; Thermoanaerobacterales; Thermoanaerobacteraceae
Rfam family: tRNA
About the family: Transfer RNA (tRNA) molecules are approximately 80 nucleotides in length. Their secondary structure includes four short double-helical elements and three loops (D, anti-codon, and T loops). Further hydrogen bonds mediate the characteristic L-shaped molecular structure. tRNAs have two regions of fundamental functional importance: the anti-codon, which is responsible for specific mRNA codon recognition, and the 3' end, to which the tRNAs corresponding amino acid is attached (by aminoacyl-tRNA synthetases). tRNAs cope with the degeneracy of the genetic code in two manners: having more than one tRNA (with a specific anti-codon) for a particular amino acid; and 'wobble' base-pairing, i.e. permitting non-standard base-pairing at the 3rd anti-codon position.
Source: Rfam by way of RNAcentral
GGGCGAUUAGCUCAGGGGGAGAGCACUUGCCUUACAAGCAAGGGGUCGCAAGUUCGAAUCUUGCAUCGCCCA